RNAcentral lists this long non-coding RNA (1234 nucleotides) under Anas platyrhynchos platyrhynchos (common mallard). Its description in RNAcentral is "lncRNA (ENSAPLG00000026298.1)". Lineage: Eukaryota; Metazoa; Chordata; Aves; Anseriformes; Anatidae. The record is from RNAcentral.
GUCUCUUAAUGCUACAUUUGCUUAGGGGCUGAGCACCUGAAUGCUGAGGUCCAGUUUCUAGCCAUCACCCCAACAUGCCAGCUGUGGAACAUAAACUGCACAGCCUCCUCAAAACAUGCUCAGUGUUAAUCUCGAGCUUGGAUCCAUGCUUCCCCUUAAUAUACAAGGUCAUACCAACAUCUUCCAGUUUAACACCCGGACCGAAGCUGAGAUGGGAAUGUGCAACUAGGAGAGAGAUGCACAAUAAUUUUAUGGUUACAGAAGAACUUACCAGAAAGGAAGCGUGCAUCACCUUCCCACCUCUCCCAUAAAUGAAGUGUGGUGGCAGAGUGUUUAAAGUAAGACCCAGAGGGCCUAAGUUGGAGGUUCCAGGCAGCUGAGGACUCCAGCUGAAGCUCUGGAGAUGACCUGGUGGCAUGUAGGUGUCUGGUUGUUUGGACUGGGAGUCAAAGGGAUGGGGAGGGGUGUGGGCUGAGCAUGUCAUAAAUCGUGCCAGCCUUAGGAGGACCCUUGAUCUUUAACACACAGAUCCUCUCUGGCUGCUACGGCAUUUACUUGCUGUAUGAACAUGAGAAGGAAUAUUGAGGACAGCAUUCACAGCCACUCUCAUGUGAGUUUGGAUUUGGGAGCAAGGGGGGACAUCCUCACUUGUAGGUUCCUUCAUAACCUCUAAAGUGCCCUGCCAGUUCCCUGAUGAAGACCUCUAUCAGACCAUAAGCCACAGUCUGGCAAUGUUUGUCCUAUGGCAUUGGUAGACCAUGUCAUGCAUGUUCCCUGCUGACCUCAGCAUCUGCUGCAUCACCGUGCCUUGUGAGACCUGCAGCUGUGCUGCCCUCCCAUUACUCCAGCUGGAAUCAAACCCUUCUGGGUAAAUUCUUACAUCUCAGCCAUACACAGCCUCACAAGAGCUCCAAAGGACUCAGGGAUGUUAGAGAGUUGUUGGCCAUGUCUGAUGCCCUCGCACAGGCUGGGUGGUGGGUGACUGUGAGGGACCGCAGGCAGAUCUGUUAGGGUUUCCACCUGCCUCUGAUAAGCUCCUUUCCCUUAGGGGAGAGACGUAACGUGACAGCUGGCUGAAGCCAGGACCUCAGAAAUGGAGCUGUCCAGAACAAACAUUCAAUUAAAAAGAAAAAAAAAAAAAAAAAAAAGACAGAGCAGAGCAACCUAAUAUUUUGCUUCCUUCUGUUCCUGACUAUAAAGUGAGGAUAAUAAAUGAUCUCUUAGCAGUAUGACA